UGGGGAAUCUUGCGCAAUGGGCGAAAGCCUGACGCAGCGACGCCGCGUGCGGGAAGAAGGCCUUCGGGUUGUAAACCGCUUUCAGGAGGGACGAAGCCACUCGGGUGAACAGCCCAGAGGGUGACGGUACCUCCAGAAGAAGCCCCGGCUAACUACGUGCCAGCAGCCGCGGUAAUACGUAGGGGGCAAGCGUUGUCCGGAUUCAUUGGGCGUAAAGAGCGUGUAGGCGGCCAGGUAGGUCGGUUGUGAAAACUGGAGGCUCAACCUUCAGAGGUCGACCGAAACCAUCUGGCUAGAGUCCGGGAGAGGAGAGUGGAAUUCCUGGUGGAGCGGUGAAAUGCGCAGAUAACAGGAAGAACAACCGUGGCGAAAGCGGCUCUCUGGAACGGUACUGACGCUGAGACGCGAAAGCGUGGGGAGCGAACAGG
This 428-nucleotide ribosomal RNA is filed under the name bacterium. RNAcentral describes it as "partial 16S ribosomal RNA". It matches the Rfam family "Bacterial small subunit ribosomal RNA", at positions 355 to 776 of the family's 1533-position model. The record is from RNAcentral.